AGCAUCAUGAUAGUAGAUUGAUUUAGUACGAGAGGAACUGUGAUUAUGGCCUCUGGUUAGCGAUUAUCGGAAACGGUAUGUCGCGCAGCUACGCCGUCUGGGAUAAUGGCUGAAAGCCUCUUAAGCCAGAAGCCCAUCUAGAAAGUGAUGCACGUGAUGUUGGACCGAUACGAAUAAUCAUACUCAAAAGGUCCGCUUCAUAGGUAACCCAAUGUAGAAGACAUUGUGUGAACGAAGGUACUGUAAGCAGUGGAGUGGCAUUACGUCCACGACCUGUUGAGGUUCAGCUUCGCUUCUAGGUUUCC
Molecule: non-coding RNA, 305 nt
Filed under: Trichomonas vaginalis G3
Lineage: Eukaryota; Parabasalia; Trichomonadida; Trichomonadidae
Description: Eukaryotic large subunit ribosomal RNA
Rfam family: Eukaryotic large subunit ribosomal RNA
Source: Rfam by way of RNAcentral